This 491-nucleotide ribosomal RNA is filed under the name uncultured bacterium. RNAcentral describes it as "partial 16S ribosomal RNA". It matches the Rfam family "Bacterial small subunit ribosomal RNA", at positions 355 to 861 of the family's 1533-position model. The record is from RNAcentral.
UGGGGAAUAUUGCACAAUGGGCGAAAGCCUGAUGCAGCAACGCCGCGUGAGUGAUGAAGGCCUUCGGGUUGUAAAGCUCUGUCUUUUGGGACGAUGAUGACGGUACCAAAGGAGGAAGCCACGGCUAACUACGUGCCAGCAGCCGCGGUAAUACGUAGGUGGCAAGCGUUGUCCGGAUUUACUGGGCGUAAAGGAUGCGUAGGCGGAUUUUUAAGUGAGAUGUGAAAUACCCGGGCUUAACUUGGGUGCUGCAUUUCAAACUGGGAAUCUAGAGUGCGGGAGAGGAGAAUGGAAUUCCUAGUGUAGCGGUGAAAUGCGUAGAGAUUAGGAAGAACACCAGUGGCGAAAGGCGAUUCUCUGGACCGUAACUGACGCUGAGGCAUGAAAGCGUGGGUAGCAAACAGGAUUAGAUACCCUGGUAGUCCACGCCGUAAACGAUGAGUACUAGGUGUAGGAGGUAUCGACCCCUUCUGUGCCGCAGUUAACACAAU